AUUGAACGCUGGCGGCAGGCCUAACACAUGCAAGUCGAGCGGAUGAAGUGAGCUUGCUCCUGGAUUCAGCGGCGGACGGGUGAGUAAUGCCUAGGAAUCUGCCUGGUAGUGGGGGAUAACGUCCGGAAACGGGCGCUAAUACCGCAUACGUCCUGAGGGAGAAAGUGGGGGAUCUUCGGACCUCACGCUAUCAGAUGAGCCUAGGUCGGAUUAGCUAGUUGGUGGGGUAAAGGCCUACCAAGGCGACGAUCCGUAACUGGUCUGAGAGGAUGAUCAGUCACACGGGAACUGAGACACGGUCCAGACUCCUACGGGAGGCAGCAGUGGGGAAUAUUGGACAAUGGGCGAAAGCCUGAUCCAGCCAGGCCGCGUGUGUGAAGAAGGUCUUCGGAUUGAAAAGCACUUUAAGUUGGGAGGAAGGGCAGUAAGUUAAUACCUUGCUGUUUUGACGUUACCAACAGAAUAAGCACCGGCUAACUUCGUG
Molecule: ribosomal RNA, 484 nt
Filed under: uncultured bacterium
Lineage: Bacteria
Description: partial 16S ribosomal RNA
Rfam family: Bacterial small subunit ribosomal RNA
Source: RNAcentral